GACGAACGCUGGCGGCGUGCUUAACACAUGCAAGUCGAACGGAAAGGCCCUGCUUUUGUGGGGUGCUCGAGUGGCGAACGGGUGAGUAACACGUGAGUAACCUGCCCUUGACUUUGGGAUAACUUCAGGAAACUGGGGCUAAUACCGGAUAGGAGCUCCUGCUGCAUGGUGGGGGUUGGAAAGUUUCGGCGGUUGGGGAUGGACUCGCGGCUUAUCAGCUUGUUGGUGGGGUAGUGGCUUACCAAGGCUUUGACGGGUAGCCGGCCUGAGAGGGUGACCGUCCACAUUGGGACUGAGAUACGGCCCAGACUCCUACGGGAGGCAGCAGUGGGGAAUAUUGCACAAUGGGCGGAAGCCUGAUGCAGCAACGCCGCGCGCGGGAUGACGGCCUUCGGGUUGUAAACCGCUUUCGCCUGUGACGAAGCGUGAGUGACGGUAAUGGGUAAAGAAGCACCGGCUAACUACGUG
This 468-nucleotide ribosomal RNA is filed under the name uncultured bacterium. RNAcentral describes it as "partial 16S ribosomal RNA". It matches the Rfam family "Bacterial small subunit ribosomal RNA", at positions 28 to 507 of the family's 1533-position model. The record is from RNAcentral.